Long non-coding RNA from Schistocerca serialis cubense, 612 nucleotides. RefSeq lists it as uncharacterized. The transcript is spliced from 3 exons. Lineage: Eukaryota; Metazoa; Arthropoda; Insecta; Orthoptera; Acrididae. The record is from RefSeq and is a predicted model, not a curated record.
AUGUGAGUGUGGCCACGUUAUGUCAGUUUUUGGUCUAAAACGUCAGCGCAGCCAGACGUUUCACUGGCGCGAGACAAUCCCAGUAUUCUUGGGACUACCUCAUGUUUUUUGUCUCUGUUGAUACGGCAAAGUUCUUGUAGAAGGCAGGCGUCGUUUAUGUUGGAGACUGGAUCAAUAGUGAGUUAGUGAGUCAACUUCGACGUCCGACGAGCUAUCAUUGCAUGAAGUAGUGGACAGAGAUUCGUUGCAGUUGCUUCGAGAAAGACAGAAGCCAUUUGCACAUAAGAGGAACAGCACUGCUCCCAGUACUUAUCCUUGGAACAUCGCGUUUCAUAUCUUGAUUUCUCACAGACUGUCUACCUGUGAAUACCACGUGCGUCAGAGCUCUACGGUCCCCACUUGCUGCCAGCCAGCAGUGGCUCCGUGGCAGCACUCCACUCCCUCGCAUUUCGUCGAAGACAUCAGCUGCCGCUAAUCACUUUGGAGAGUAUAAAAUGUUUGCUAUUGUUGAAUGAUGCUCCACAAAAAAGUCUAUGAUUUGUAUUUCAUGCUCAAUAGCAUCAAAAGCAGACAUGCACAUACAUCUCAAAAUUGUUAUAGUUUGUGAUCCCA